GUGCUCACUUCAACAGCACAUGUACUAAAAUUGGAAUGAUACAGAGAAGAUUAGCAUUGGCCCUGCUCAAGGAUGACACACACACAGACACACACACACACACACAUU
This 108-nucleotide small nuclear RNA is filed under the name Neotoma lepida (desert woodrat). Lineage: Eukaryota; Metazoa; Chordata; Mammalia; Rodentia; Cricetidae. The record is from RNAcentral.